This 188-nucleotide ribosomal RNA is filed under the name uncultured soil bacterium. Its description in RNAcentral is "partial 16S ribosomal RNA". It matches the Rfam family "Bacterial small subunit ribosomal RNA", at positions 26 to 222 of the family's 1533-position model. The record is from RNAcentral.
AGAUUGAACGCUGGCGGCAUGCUUUACACAUGCAAGUCGAACGGCAGCACGGGGGCAACCCUGGUGGCGAGUGGCGAACGGGUGAGUAAUAUAUCGGAACGUACCCGGAAAUGGGGGAUAACGUAGCGAAAGUUACGCUAAUACCGCAUAUGCCCUGAGGGGAAGGCGGGAGUCGUAAGGACGCCUCG